RNAcentral lists this microRNA precursor (136 nucleotides) under Hordeum vulgare. Its description in RNAcentral is "microRNA MIR1122". It matches the Rfam family "MIR1120/MIR1122 microRNA precursor family". Lineage: Eukaryota; Viridiplantae; Streptophyta; Magnoliopsida; Poales; Poaceae. The record is from RNAcentral.
CAUGUACUUCCUCCGUUUCAAAAUUAUUGUCUUAGAUUUGUCUAGAUAUAAAUAUUUUUAAUAACGUUUUAGUAUUUAGAUAUAUCGAUUUCUAGAUAAAUUUAAAAAAAGAAUUUUGGAACAGAGGAAGUACUAU